CGGCAACGAGCGCAACCCACACUCUUAGUUAGCCAGCAUUCAGUUGGGCACUCUAAGAGAACUGCCGAUGAUAAGUCGGAGGAAGGUGUUGGAUGACGUCAAGUCCUCAUGGCCCUUACGGGUUGGGCUACACACGUGCUACAAUGGUGGUGACAAUGGGUUAAUCCCUAAAAGCCAUCUCAGUUCGGAUUGGGGUCUGCAACUCGACCCCAUGAAGUCGGAAUCGCUAGUAAUCGCGUAACAGCAUGACGCGGUGAAUACGUUCCCGGGCCUUGUACACACCGCCCGUCACACCAUGGAAGUUGGGUCUACCCGAAGGUGGUGCGCCAACCUGCAAAGGAGGCAGCCAACCACGGUAGGCUCAGCGACUGGGGUGAAGUCGUAACAAGGUAACCGU
RNAcentral lists this ribosomal RNA (397 nucleotides) under uncultured Rhodobacter sp. RNAcentral describes it as "bacterial SSU rRNA". It matches the Rfam family "Bacterial small subunit ribosomal RNA", at positions 1087 to 1503 of the family's 1533-position model. Lineage: Bacteria; Pseudomonadati; Pseudomonadota; Alphaproteobacteria; Rhodobacterales. The record is from RNAcentral.